RNAcentral lists this long non-coding RNA (245 nucleotides) under Brassica rapa (field mustard). Its description in RNAcentral is "long non-coding RNA (BRAP_LNC001253)". The record is from RNAcentral. Lineage: Eukaryota; Viridiplantae; Streptophyta; Magnoliopsida; Brassicales; Brassicaceae.
AACUCUUCAUUGUCGGCUAGGAGCUGAGCGUUUAUGGCCGCUUGAUCUUGACCUACAUCUCCCAUAGUUUCUCUGAAAAGGUACUCAAAGAAAAUUUAGAGGCAAGAGGGAUUAAAUAGUAGCUUGGGGUUGGAUACUUGAGUAUCGACCAAGGCUAAAAGUAAAUGCUAAAAUUUAUGAAUAAAAUCGAAUCAAGUUGAAAAAGGAAAGAUGAAUAAUUUUUUUUGAUUUUCGAAAACUUGGAA